This 460-nucleotide ribosomal RNA is filed under the name uncultured bacterium. Its description in RNAcentral is "partial 16S ribosomal RNA". It matches the Rfam family "Bacterial small subunit ribosomal RNA", at positions 338 to 795 of the family's 1533-position model. The record is from RNAcentral.
CCUACGGGAGGCAGCAGUGAGGAAUAUUGGUCAAUGGGCGCGAGCCUGAACCAGCCAAGUAGCGUGAAGGAUGACUGCCCUACGGGUUGUAAACUUCUUUUAUAAAGGAAUAAAGUGAGGCACGUGUGCCUUUUUGUAUGUACUUUAUGAAUAAGGAUCGGCUAACUCCGUGCCAGCAGCCGCGGUAAUACGGAGGAUCCGAGCGUUAUCCGGAUUUAUUGGGUUUAAAGGGUGCGUAGAUGGGUUGUUAAGUCAGUUGUGAAAGUUUGCGGCUCAACCGUAAAAUUGCAAUUGAUACUGGCUGUCUUGAGUACAGUUGAGGUAGGCGGAAUUCGUGGUGUAGCGGUGAAAUGCUUAGAUAUCACGAAGAACUCCGAUUGCGAAGGCAGCUUACUAAACUGCCACUGACAUUGAUGCUCGAAGGUGUGGGUAUCAAACAGGAUUAGAUACCCGAGUAGUC